CGAGAUGAGUUCUCCCUGAGACUAUAAGUCUCCUGAAGGAACGUUGAAGACGACGACGUUGAUAGGUCGGGUGUGUAAGUGUAGCGAUACAUUGAGCUAACCGAUACUAAUGAACCGUGAGGCUUAACCUU
RNAcentral lists this ribosomal RNA (131 nucleotides) under Citrobacter freundii. RNAcentral's name for it is "partial 23S ribosomal RNA". It matches the Rfam family "Bacterial large subunit ribosomal RNA", at positions 2800 to 2925 of the family's 2925-position model. The record is from RNAcentral. Lineage: Bacteria; Pseudomonadati; Pseudomonadota; Gammaproteobacteria; Enterobacterales; Enterobacteriaceae.